RNAcentral lists this long non-coding RNA (1501 nucleotides) under Marmota monax (woodchuck). Lineage: Eukaryota; Metazoa; Chordata; Mammalia; Rodentia; Sciuridae. The record is from RNAcentral.
GGGCGAGCAAACAGGCAGAAGCAAAGGUGGGCCCCUCAGUCUGGCAUGGUGCCAGGCUAGCCUGGCUGGGAGCGAGUCCCAGCAAGGUUGCCCUGUCCAUGGCCUUAAUCCACAGAGUCUCCUCUUUCACAGGUGCUUCUGCUCCAUUGUUGGCUGAAGGGGUCAGGACUUACUGUCUCCUGCAUUAUUGAUGCUCUAAAUGGAGAGCCCUUAGCCUCUCCAGAACACAGCUGGGUGGUAUGCUGCUGCAGCCCAAGGGCACCCUGAAGCAGUCAGACCCCUAAAAGGAAAAAGAACUUGAGAAGUGUGAAGCCUGUCAUCUCUGGGACUGUUAUGGGUGGGAGCAAGAACAAAGCGCCCCAGUGCAGGGCGAGACCUGGGAGGCCAGCCUCAGGGGAGCAGGAGUCCGGAUCGGCUAGUGCUGAUAGCGCACUUAGCCAGGACCACCGACCUGGCCGCGGCAAAGCCCUGCGGGCGAGACCCUCCAAGGAGCCCGACACCGCGGGGGACAAGAGACUCGCUAGUGGCCACAGGAAGCCGGCCACAGACGGGAACGGUGGCUGCAGAAAGCCAGGUGCUGAGCCGCCACCGGAGGCACAGGAGAGGCAAGGCAGCACGCGGCAUAGGGGAUCCGGGCCUUUGGAGAGUCACCGACCAGGGGACAGCCGUGGGGAGCGCCAGGAUGAGGAGAGUCUACCGAAAGAAGAGGGUACAGCCCAGCGCCGCCGUCGCCGCAAGAGGAAAGGAAAAGGGCAGGGACCCUUGGUUCAGCCCGGCCGCCGAGAGGCUCGGAGCCGCGAAAGUGAACCAUCGGGAGGGGACCGAGGCAGCUCUUGCCGGGACAGCGAAGCUCAAGAGUCCCAGGAGACGAGCAGCCAGGGCAAGGGGGCCUUGCAGCUGCGGACUAAGUCAGAGCCAACGGAAACGGGCCCGGAAGGGAACAAAAUAUGGCCAGAGUCAGCGCUGCAUCCAGGCGAAUGCCAGACCAGCAGCAGUCAGGGCAGUGACGAACCCUCAGCUCAGCUUCUGCAUGAGGAAGUGUCGUCGGGGACAGGGCCCCAGGGAGCGAGUGAGGAUUCUGGGACAAAUACGGACUUGAGUCCGGAGGGGACCGGGCCUGGACCGCGCCCACCGGCACCCCUGGGGACAGCAAGAUGGGUCCCUGAUGCCCAAGAGAUCGACCUGGGUGGAAAAGCCCCGGCAUGCAGCUCCCUCGAGCGCAGUUGUGCGCACGUCCCUGGGAGCUCGUGGGAUUCUCGAGACCCCAUGUUUUCUCCGGACUCAAGUGAAGGCUGGGCGCAGCAGGAGGCGGAGCUGCAGGACGCCCAGCCUGAAACAGUCGAGGCCUCUGCGGCCCGGGCUCAGCGCCUCCAGACUGGAAAGGUGGUGGGGAAGUUGCAGGGGGCAGAGGACCAGAGCGAAGCGGCGUCGGAAAAGGGAGCAGGUCCAGAGGACCCAGCGCCACUGGCCACCCUCACGGUGCUCCGUAAGCUCCGCGCGA